GGAGGAUCCGAGCGUUAUCCGGAUUUAUUGGGUUUAAAGGGAGCGUAGAUGGAUGUUUAAGUCAGUUGUGAAAGUUUGCGGCUCAACCGUAAAAUUGCAGUUGAUACUGGAUGUCUUGAGUGCAGUUGAGGCAGGCGGAAUUCGUGGUGUAGCGGUGAAAUGCUUAGAUAUCACGAAGAACUCCGAUUGCGAAGGCAGCCUGCUAAGCUGCAACUGACAUUGAGGCUCGAAAGUGUGGGUAUCAAACAGGAUUAGAUACCCUGGUAGUCCACACGGUAAACGAUGAAUACUCGCUGUUUGCGAUAUACGGCAAGCGGCCAAGCGAAAGCGUUAAGUAUUCCACCUGGGGAGUACGCCGGCAACGGUGAAACUCAAAGGAAUUGACGGCAGCAGCCGCGGUAAUACCAAACUCAAAGGAAUUGACGG
RNAcentral lists this ribosomal RNA (426 nucleotides) under uncultured bacterium. RNAcentral describes it as "bacterial SSU rRNA". It matches the Rfam family "Bacterial small subunit ribosomal RNA", at positions 527 to 967 of the family's 1533-position model. The record is from RNAcentral.